AGAGUUGAUUCUGGCUCAGGAUGAACGCUAGCUACAGGCUUAACACAUGCAAGUCGAGGGGCAGCAUGAAGUUGCUUGCAAACUUGAUGGCGACCGGCGCACGGGUGAGUAACGCGUAUCCAACCUUCCCUAUAGUAGAGAAUAGCCCGGCGAAAGUCGGAUUAAUGCUCUAUGUUUGUAUUUUUGCGGACAUCUAACGAAUACCAAAGGUUUACCGCUAUAGGAUGGGGAUGCGUCUGAUUAGGUUGUUGGCGGGGUAACGGCCCACCAAGCCGUCGAUCAGUAGGGGUUCUGAGAGGAAGGUCCCCCACAUUGGAACUGAGACACGGUCCAAACUCCUACGGGAGGCAGCAGUGAGGAAUAUUGGUCAAUGGACGGAAGUCUGAACCAGCCAAGUAGCGUGCAGGAUGACGGCCCUAUGGGUUGUAAACUGCUUUUGUUGGGGAGCAAUAAGGUCCACGAGUGGAUUGAUGAGAGUACCCAGCGAAUAAGCAUCGGCUAACUCCGUGCCAGCCGCCGC
RNAcentral lists this ribosomal RNA (520 nucleotides) under uncultured bacterium. Its description in RNAcentral is "bacterial SSU rRNA". It matches the Rfam family "Bacterial small subunit ribosomal RNA", at positions 8 to 518 of the family's 1533-position model. The record is from RNAcentral.